RNAcentral lists this ribosomal RNA (253 nucleotides) under uncultured bacterium. RNAcentral's name for it is "partial 16S ribosomal RNA". It matches the Rfam family "Bacterial small subunit ribosomal RNA", at positions 524 to 776 of the family's 1533-position model. The record is from RNAcentral.
UACGUAGGGUGCAAGCGUUAAUCGGAAUUACUGGGCGUAAAGCGUGCGCAGGCGGUUAUGCAAGACAGAGGUGAAAUCCCCGGGCUCAACCUGGGAACUGCCUUUGUGACUGCAUAGCUAGAGUACGGUAGAGGGGGAUGGAAUUCCGCGUGUAGCAGUGAAAUGCGUAGAUAUGCGGAGGAACACCGAUGGCGAAGGCAAUCCCCUGGACCUGUACUGACGCUCAUGCACGAAAGCGUGGGGAGCGAACAGG